UGUGAUUGUCGCAAGCAAGCAGGUGGCAGUUUGAAGGGAGUGCAUGUAUGUAUCCAACAUCCGACGGAAAGAAUUUGAUGAACGACACUUCUGCCUUCCUUUCCGGGAGAGCUGACGGAGGGAUGACUACACUUGUUAAAAUUAGCGUGCCGUAAGUGAAUGACGUGAGUCGGCAGCUUAAACUUCCGUCCGGCUGCAACGAUGUCACCACGACGUGCGUCACCUAUCAGUGUCAACGCGUCACCUAUUAGUGACAGGGCUGAGUGACAGUGGGACAGUCAACCCCGUCAGCUGCUGUUAGAGGAUGACAAUCGGUGUCGGUGAUCGGUAAAAUGCGACAAAGGCGCGACACGAGCGCCAAGGUUUGUCACCGCGUGAAUUCAUGUCACGCGCGCGUGAGGACCACCCCGAGCGAUUACGCGCCGUGACGUCACGCCGACACGGUCCGGGGACGCCGAUUGUCGCAGCAGGGCGUUAUUGCCUUGUACACACGUGUG
RNAcentral lists this long non-coding RNA (497 nucleotides) under Priapulus caudatus. RNAcentral's name for it is "uncharacterized LOC106821159, transcript variant X1". Lineage: Eukaryota; Metazoa; Priapulida; Priapulimorpha; Priapulimorphida; Priapulidae. The record is from RNAcentral.